Long non-coding RNA from Eriocheir sinensis (Chinese mitten crab), 1133 nucleotides. RefSeq lists it as uncharacterized. The record is from RefSeq and is a predicted model, not a curated record. The transcript has 3 exons. Lineage: Eukaryota; Metazoa; Arthropoda; Malacostraca; Decapoda; Varunidae.
CCCGGGCAGGUUGAGCUCGUGAGCCGUCAUAGGUAAUACACCUAGGAGAGCAAACUCCGAACAAUAAACCCGGGCAGGUGGAGGUCGUUAGCGAAAGCAGUUCAUCUAGGAGAGCAAACUCCGAUUACAAAACCGGGCAGGUGGAGGUCGUUAGCGAAAGCAGUUCAUCUAGGAGAGCAAACUCCGAUUACAAAACCGGGCAGGUGGAGGUCGUUAGCGUGAGCAGUUCACCUAGGAGAGCAAACUCCGAAUACAAACCCGGGCAGGUGGAGGUCGUUAGCGUGAGCAGUUCACCUAGGAGAGCAAACUCCGAUUACAAAACCGGGCAGGUGGAGGUCGUUAGCGAAAGCAAUUCAUCUAGGAGAGCAAACUCCGAUUACAAACCCGGGCAGGUGGAGGUCGUUAGCGAAAGCAGUUCACCUAGGAGAGCAAACUCCGAUUACAAAACCGGGCAGGUGAGGUUCGUUAGCCGUGGUAGGCAAUUCACCUAGGAGAGCAAACUCCGAACAAUAAACCCGGGCAGGUUGGGCUCGUGAGCCGUCAUAGGUAAUACACCUAGGAGAGCAAACUCCGAACAAUAAACCCGGGCAGGUGGAGCUCGUCAGCCGUGGUAGGCAGUCUGCCUAGGAGAGCAAACUCCGAACAAUAAACCCGGGCAGGUGGAGCUCGUCAGCUGUGGUAAGCAGUCUGCCUAGGAGAGCAAACUCCGAACAAUAAACCCGGGCAGGUGGAGCUCGUCAGCCGUGGUAGGCAGUCUGCCUAGGAGAGCAAACUCCGAACAAUAAACCGAGGCUUGUGGUGCUCGUUAGAUGUCGUAGACAAUCCACGUGAUGGGAACACCAAAGAAAAGGAAAAUAAAAAGGAACACCAGAAAAAGGAAAAUAUAGUAACAAAACAUCAAGAAAAGAAAAGAAAAAACACAGAUCAUCCACCUUCAGGCCCUAACAUCUCCAAAAUUAUGGUUGAGUCUUUUCUGGGGAGAAAGAGGCUCAUCCAGACCAAAGAACAUCAAAAAGGGAUGAUAUAGAAAGGAACACCAAAAAAAUGGGAAAAAGAGAAAAAAACAUCGCAAAAGAAAAGUAACAACAAUAACAGAACAACGUCAAGAAAAGUAACAUAAAAAGAAACAUCAU